Molecule: ribosomal RNA, 465 nt
Filed under: uncultured bacterium
Lineage: Bacteria
Description: bacterial SSU rRNA
Rfam family: Bacterial small subunit ribosomal RNA
Source: RNAcentral
CCUACGGGUUGCACCAGUGGGGAAUAUUGCACAAUGGGCGCAAGCCUGACGCAGCCAUGCCGCGUGUGUGAAGAAGGCCUUCGGGUUGUAAAGCACUUUCAGCGGGGAGGAAGGCGGUGAGGUUAAUAACCUCAUCGAUUGACGUUACCCGCAGAAGAAGCACCGGCUAACUCCGUGCCAGCAGCCGCGGUAAUACGGAGGGUGCAAGCGUUAAUCGGAAUUACUGGGCGUAAAGCGCACGCAGGCGGUCUGUCAAGUCGGAUGUGAAAUCCCCGGGCUCAACCUGGGAACUGCAUUCGAAACUGGCAGGCUAGAGUCUUGUAGAGGGGGGUAGAAUUCCAUGUGUAGCGGUGUAAUGCGUAGAGAUGUGGAGGAAUACCGGUGGCGAAGGCAGCCCCCUGGACAAAGACUGACGCUCAGGUGCGAAAGCGUGGGGAGCAAACGGGAUUAGAUACCCCGGUAGUC